ACGGCUUGUCGAACAACUAGCCUAAGGUAAGCAAAUAAAGUUUUAGAUUUUCACUAAAUUGUCUUGCCAUUUCGUGGUACUCACCAAUUCGGGGUAUUUCCCAAAAACGUCAUAUCUCGCGACAGUUCAUGUGUACUGCGCCACCUAGCGAACGUUUCUGAAGAGAAAGCGUCCCUGGAUACCGGAGAACAAAAUGUUCAAGAUUGCAUCAAUUAAUACAUGCAUCAGUCAACAAUUUGGUGAGAUGGACUGACAACACUCUUCAGCAGGUGCCAAACCACAAAACGAAUAUGGAUGUAUCAAAUGUCAUUCUGUCAAUGUGCAGGUGAGUUAACCUAUACCAUCAGACUGACGAAGUAUUGAAUGAAAAAUGAACAAGAAAUAAGAAUGACCAGUGACCAUGACAUCAAAAAACCCCAAGUGACAGCUUGUUCACAACACAGAGAGGAUGUUUGUCAUGGAACAGAAUCAAUUCUUUUUCAAUUCUUUAUUAAAAAUAGAUGUUAAUGUGCGUUGGUGAUUUGUACACACAGAGUUGCAUAUUUGAAGGUCACGGUCAAGGUGAGUUAACCUAUACCAUCAGACUGACGAAGUAUUGAAUGAAAAAUAAACAAGAAAUAAGAAUGACCAGUGACCAUGACAUCAAAAAACCCCAAGUGACAGCUUGUUCACAACACAGAGAGGAUGUUUGUCAUGGAACAGAAUCAAUUCUUUUUCAAUUCUUUAUUAAAAAUAGAUGUUAA
RNAcentral lists this long non-coding RNA (743 nucleotides) under Gigantopelta aegis. RNAcentral's name for it is "uncharacterized LOC121386948, transcript variant X2". The record is from RNAcentral. Lineage: Eukaryota; Metazoa; Mollusca; Gastropoda; Neomphalida; Peltospiridae.